CAGCUUGGUAAAAGAGGUUGCUAUCUUUAGCAAGUUGCCAAUUUUCUUUCUCGCACGCGCAAAUAUGCGCGCGCGGAGCUCGGUUGCCAUCGCGAAAAGCUAUAUCGACGCUACUCUCGCACGCGCGAGAAGCCUUCCCCCGCGAGAUUUCUAUCGUUCGCGUGCAAUAAAAGAUCGGUCCAGUGCAAGCCGUCGUCCCUAGAUAGCGACGUCGCCAUUCCAUUCAUCUUCUUCAACGCGAUUGGAGUCCAGGUCCAAAGAAGUUGCGCCGCCGUUGUUCGUCUCUUCGUCGCGAAGCCAGGAAUCAGAAUGUUAUUUUCAAGUUGCUUGUGUGGUUUCAUGCUCUUGUGAAGAUGGGCGGCCAACUUGAUGUCGCAGAUGGGCGGCCGCAAUGGAGGAUGGCCACCAGCCGACGGAGACAUGCACCAGCGGCCGAGAGUCGUGAGAAGACUCUUGCGCGACGGCACCGGCUAUUCACGAGUUCGAGGACAGGAAAAUUAUCGGUCAAGUUGUGGGCCUAAUAUUUAAUUUUAGCAAGUCUAAAUAGCAAAUAUUGAAGAGACUCUAUUUUUAAAUUAACUUGUCAUCUCUUUUAGCAAGUUGCCAAAUCAUAAUAUUUACCAAGUGGAUUUUAGCAAACUCUUGGAGAUGCUCGUCCCGGGUCUAAUUCUAAUCGGGACUAAUAUCGUAAACUGAAAGUCCUUUUUCUACUAGUGCCCAUUCCAUAUUAAAGGAGGCGUGGAAUUUCUGGUCCCGUAUAGAUGUCGUUCCUCUUUUUAGUAAUUAAUUGUUACAUAAAUAAACAUGAGCUCUUUCACCAUGGUUGGAAAAGUACCAUGGAUGCU
This is a long non-coding RNA of Sorghum bicolor (sorghum), 845 nucleotides long. RefSeq lists it as uncharacterized. The record is from RefSeq and is a predicted model, not a curated record. NCBI's taxonomy places the organism in Eukaryota, Viridiplantae, Streptophyta, Magnoliopsida, Poales, Poaceae. The transcript is spliced from 2 exons.